UGGCUUUCAGGAGGAUUUCCAUGAGGAAUAGACAUAUUUCCUUCAGAAGAAGGGAAAUCCACACCAGUAGUGAGAUGAGCAGCAGCAGGUCUCCUUCCCUUGUUAAAUGUUACACUUUGUGGAUACCCAUGAAUCUUGUAACACUUAUCAAUUAAGUGCCCAGAUUUUUUGCAGUAUCUACAGAAUACAGAACCUCUAGCUGGGUCAAAAUUAACUCUUU
RNAcentral lists this long non-coding RNA (220 nucleotides) under Nicotiana benthamiana. RNAcentral's name for it is "long non-coding RNA (NBEN_LNC026856)". The record is from RNAcentral. Lineage: Eukaryota; Viridiplantae; Streptophyta; Magnoliopsida; Solanales; Solanaceae.